GAAAACUUGGACUCUUGAAUCAAAUGAAUUCCACUUCAUAUGCUUUUAUUUUGCAGAAACAUUUCAAGUUAACUUCUCAAGGAAAAUCCUUCUGAAAUGUAAAAUUACUGAAUUCCUCCUUGUUGAAUGUACAGCUGGUAUAAAAAUGGUGCUUUGUCGUCAUGAAGAAGGUGUAUUCUGGGAUCAAACCACCUGGCUGGAGAUGCUUACUAACCUCAGUUUCUUCAUCUGACCUUACCUUUCUAAAAGAAUAAGAAGAAGAUGAUACAUAUUCCUCUAAAGUCCCAACAGGAACCUUUUCCCCUCACUCCCUCCCCAGAGAUGUGUAUCAUUUCCAUGAGUGUCUGUACUUUUACAACAUGUGCAUAUUAAUAAACAAAAUAUGACAAAUUAUUUUGUCUUAAUAUUUGCAUAAAUCUAGCCAUACUCUACACCACUUUUGCAACUUUCACUAUUAUAUAUUUUGAAGAUUAUCCGUGUUUAUGCACAUAAGUUUAUCAUUUUAACUGUUGAAUAGUGUUUCAUUAUAUGAAUUAACCAUAAUUCAUCUAUUUCCCUGAGUGACAAUUAGGUUUCUUUUUGUUUUUAUGCUCUGAUGAACAAUCUUGCAAUUAUUAUCUUUGUAUAUGUCUUCAUGUAUAAGAAAUUCUCCAGGGUAGACACUUAGAAGU
Molecule: long non-coding RNA, 671 nt
Filed under: Homo sapiens (human)
Lineage: Eukaryota; Metazoa; Chordata; Mammalia; Primates; Hominidae
Description: HSALNT0357924
Source: RNAcentral